UGUUUAAAAUUUAAUUUAUUUUUACUAUUAAAAAUUGGUGUGGCUGAUGAUAUAAUCAGACAAUCACAUGUUGUAUGACACAUAGGGACGAAUUUUAAAAAUAAAAAUGGACGAAAUUUUUAAUA
RNAcentral lists this microRNA precursor (125 nucleotides) under Gossypium hirsutum (cotton). RNAcentral's name for it is "MIR7502 microRNA precursor family". It matches the Rfam family "MIR7502 microRNA precursor family". The record is from Rfam by way of RNAcentral. Lineage: Eukaryota; Viridiplantae; Streptophyta; Magnoliopsida; Malvales; Malvaceae.